This 227-nucleotide ribosomal RNA is filed under the name uncultured beta proteobacterium. Its description in RNAcentral is "partial 16S ribosomal RNA". It matches the Rfam family "Bacterial small subunit ribosomal RNA", at positions 980 to 1211 of the family's 1533-position model. Lineage: Bacteria; Pseudomonadati; Pseudomonadota; Betaproteobacteria. The record is from RNAcentral.
CUUGACAUGUAAGGAACCCUGGUGAGGGGUGGGAGUGCCCGAAAGGGAGCCUGAACACAGGUGCUGCAUGGCUGUCGUCAGCUCGUGUCGUGAGAUGUUGGGUUAAGUCCCGCAACGAGCGCAACCCUUGUCCCUAGUUGCUACGAAAGGGCACUCUAAGGAGACUGCCGGUGACAAACCGGAGGAAGGUGGGGAUGACGUCAAGUCCUCAUGGCCCCUAUGGGUAG